GUAAUUACCAACUUAAUGUUUUUGCAUUGGACUUUGAGUUAAGAUUAUUUUUUAAAUCCUGAGGACUAGCAUUAAUUGACAGCUGACCCAGAUGCUAUAGUACUAUUGACAAACUGGGUUAGAGAAGGAGUGUACCGCUGUGCUGUUGGCACGAACACCUUCAGGGACUGGAGCUGCUUUUAUCCUUGGAAGAGUAUUCCCAGUUGAAGCUGAAAAGUACAGCACAGUGCAGCUUUGGUUCAUAUUCAGUCAUCUCAGGAGAACUUCAGAAGAGCUUGAGUAGGCCAAAUGUUGAAGUUAAGUUUUCCAAUAAUGUGACUUCUUAAAAGUUUUAUUAAAGGGGAGGGGCAAAUAUUGGCAAUUAGUUGGCAGUGGCCUGUUACGGUUGGGAUUGGUGGGGUGGGUUUAGGUAAUUGUUUAGUUUAUGAUUGCAGAUAAACUCAUGCCAGAGAACUUAAAGUCUUAGAAUGG
RNAcentral lists this long non-coding RNA (471 nucleotides) under Homo sapiens (human). RNAcentral describes it as "HSALNT0176818". Lineage: Eukaryota; Metazoa; Chordata; Mammalia; Primates; Hominidae. The record is from RNAcentral.